GCUCGUAGGUGGUUUGUCGCGUUGUUCGUGAAAACUCACAGCUCAACUGUGGGCGUGCGGGCGAUACGGGCAGACUGGAGUACUGCAGGGGAGACUGGAAUUCCUGGUGUAGCGGUGGAAUGCGCAGAUAUCAGGAGGAACACCGGUGGCGAAGGCGGGUCUCUGGGCAGUAACUGACGCUGAGGAGCGAAAGCGUGGGGAGCGAACAGGAUUAGAUACCCUGGUAGUCCACGCCGUAAACGGUGGGUACUAGGUGUGGGUUUCCUUCCUUGGGAUCCGUGCCGUAGCUAACGCAUUAAGUACCCCGCCUGGGGAGUACGGCCGCAAGGCUAAAACUCAAAGAAAUUGACGGGGGCCCGCACAAGCGGCGGAGCAUGUGGAUUAAUUCGAUGCAACGCGAAGAACCUUACCUGGGUUUGACAUGCACAGGAUGUGCCUAGAGAUAGGUAUUCCCUUGUGGCCUGUGUGCAGGUGGUGCAUGGCUGUCGUCAGCUCGUGUCGUGAGAUGUUGGGUUAAGUCCCGCAACGAGCGCAACCCUUGUCUCAUGUU
Molecule: ribosomal RNA, 550 nt
Filed under: uncultured bacterium
Lineage: Bacteria
Description: bacterial SSU rRNA
Rfam family: Bacterial small subunit ribosomal RNA
Source: RNAcentral